AUGGGCCGCAACUCCUCCACAUCUCCGCCCAUCCAUGACGACAAUGGCGCUGCCGCCGCUAACGAUCUCGGCCUCCACUCGAUUCGCGAUCGCUUCCCCUUCAAACGCAACCCUAACCCUAGCUCCUACCCCAACCACCGCUCCCGCGGCUUGCCCGAUCGCGGCCCUCCGUCGCGCCACAGACCGCAUCACCGGUUCUACCGCAAGGGAUUCUUCAAAGGAAAGUCGGUGUUCUACUCCGUCCUCAUCUUCGUCAUCUUCACGUUUGCGGUGGCGACAAUGGUGUUGCAGAGCUCGAUGACUUUGGUGUUCCGGCAAGGGAGUGAGAGAGAGCGGUUGUUGAGGGAAGGGUUGAAGUUUGGGAGCACGUUGAGGUUUGUGCCCGGGAGGUUUGGCCUGGCCGGUGGGCUCGAUGAGGCUCGGAAGGUGCCCAGGGUUGGUGUCCGGCCGCCGCGGCUAGCUAUUAUCUUGGGAAACAUGAAGAAGGAUCCACAUUCCUUGAUGUUGAUUACUGUGAUGAAGAACAUCAAGAUAUUGGGUUAUAGGUUGAAGAUUUUUUCCAUGGCGAAUGGUAAAGCACGUAGAAUGUGGGAGGCACAUGGUGGCCCAAUAUCCAUCUUAGCUCUGCAGAAAUACAGCCUUAUUGAUUGGUCAAUCUUCGAAGGCGUUAUUGUUGACUCCCUUGAAGCAAAAGAAUGCAUUUCAAGCCUUAUGCAGGAGCCUUUUUGUUCAGUACCACUUAUAUGGAUAAUUCAAGAAGAUACACUUGCUAAGCGUCUGCCAUUGUAUGAGGAAACGGGCCGGAAGCAUCUUGUUUCUCAUUGGAAAACUGUUUUUAGCAGAGCAAAUGUUGUGGUGUUUCCAGAUUUCACUUUGCCGAUGCUAUACAGUGUUCUUGACACUGGAAACUAUUUCGUCAUUCCUGGAUCUCCAGUUGAUGUUUGGGCUGCAGCCCACUACAGUAAAACCCACUCCAAGAAUCAAUUGAGGAAGAACAACGGUUUCAGUGAAGAUGAUAUGUUGGUUGUAGUAGUUGGAAGUUCUUUUUUCUUCAAUGAGCUUUCAUGGGACUAUGCAUUAGCUAUGCAUUCUAUAGGACCAUUAUUGAUGGAAUAUGCAAGGAAAGACGCAGAAGGGUUGUAUAAAUUUGUUUUUUAUGUGGUAAUUCAUCCAAUGGAUAUGAUGAUGCUUUCCAGGAAGUUGCUUCACGUCUAGGACUUCAUCAAGGUUCUUUGAGGCAUUACGGUUUGAAUGGUGACGUCAAUAGUGUGUUAUCAAUGGCGGAUAUUGUUCUUUAUGGUUCUGCACAAGAUGAACAAGGGUUUCCUCCAUUGCUCAUUCGUGCCAUGACUUUUGGAAUCCCAGUUAUUGCACCUGAUUAUCCUGUCUUGAAGAAAUAUGUAGUUGAUGGAGUUCACAUGAUACUUUUUCAAAGACAUGAUCCUGAUGCUUUACUGAAGGCAUUCUCACUUAUGAUUUCAAACGAGAAACUUUCUAAAUUUGCUCAAACAGUUGCUUCCUCUGGAAGACUGAUUGCCAUGAACCUGCUUGCAUCAGAAUCCAUAACUGGUUAUGCAAGGCUUCUGGAGAGUGUACUAAAGUUUCCAUCAGAUGCUUUGCUGCCUGGUCCGUUAUCCCAGCUUCAACAGGGCACAUGGGAGUGGAAUUUGUUUGGGAGUGAAAUAGAUUCUGGUACUGGCGAUAUGCUAAACAUUAAUGAGAAUCAGGCAUCUCUUGAAAACUCUUCUGUUGUUCAUGCUCUUGAAGAAGAGUUUUCUGGAUUUUCUUACUCAACAAAAAUCUCCGAGAAUGGAACUGAGAUUUUCGCACACGAUAUUCCAACUCAACUAGAUUGGGACAUCUUGAGGGAAAUUGAACUUUCUGAAGAAUAUGAGAGGGUGGAAAUGGAGGAGCUAGCAGAAAGAAUGGAGCGCGAUCCUGGUCAAUGGGAUGACAUAUAUCGUAAUGCCCGAAAAGCUGAAAAGCUUAGGUUUGAAGCAAAUGAGAGGGAUGAAGGAGAACUUGAGAGGACGGGCCAGCCAGUGUGCAUUUAUGAGAUAUACAUUGGAUCUGGGACCUGGCCAUUCUUGCACCAUGGUUCGUUGUACCGUGGGCUAAGUCUUUCUACAAAAGCGCGAAGAUCAAAAUCAGAUGAUGUGGAUGCCGUUGGCCGGCUUCCGGUAUUGAAUGAAACGUACUAUCGUAAUGUUCUCUGUGAGAUUGGAGGAAUGUUCGCUAUCGCAAACAAGGUGGACAAUGUUCAUAAACGACCUUGGAUUGGGUUUCAAUCUUGGCGUGCUGCUAGUCAGAAGGUAUCUUUGUCAAAGAAAGCUGAAAAAGUUUUGGACGAAGUAAUUCAAGACAACACAAAAGGAGAUGUAAUAUACUUCUGGUCACGCUUGAACAUGAAUGGUGGGGUGACAGGAAGCAAAGAUGCACUCACUUUUUGGUCUGCGUGUGACAUCUUGAACGAGGGGCAUUGCAGAAAAGUUUUUGAAGAUGCAUUUCGUCAGAUGUAUGUCUUGCCAUCUAGUGCUGAAGCUCUUCCUCCCAUGCCAGAGGAUGGUGGUCACUGGUCUGCCUUGCAUAGCUGGGUGAUGCCAACUCGCUCCUUCCUUGAGUUUGUGAUGUUUUCUCGGAUGUUUGUUGAAUCUGUUGAUGCAUUGCACACCAACUCUACCAACAGAAGUAUCUGCCUGUUGGGUUCGUCGGAACCUGAGCAAAGGCAUUGUUAUUGUCGGGUAUUAGAACUUCUUGUCAAUGUCUGGGCCUAUCAUAGUGCACGAAAGAUGGUUUACAUAGAUCCACUCUCUGGUUCACUGGAAGAGCAGCACCCUGUUGAGCAACGCAAAGGAUUCUUGUGGGCAAAAUAUUUCAAUAGUACAUUACUGAAGAGUAUGGAUGAAGAUUUAGCAGAAGCAGCAGAUGAUGGUGACCAUCCGAGGGAGAUGUGGUUGUGGCCAUUAACUGGGGAAGUGCAUUGGCAAGGAAUUUAUGAAAGGGAGAGGGAAGAAAGAUAUAGGCUAAAGAUGGACAAGAAAAGGAAAACGAAAGAGAAAUUACUUGAAAGAUUGAAGAAUGGAUACAGGCAGAAGACACUUGGGGGAUAGAAGUCUAGCAUGCGAUUCUAAUACUCUAAUUCCAUUUUCAACUCACUCCAGUUACCAGACAUCUACUGAUCUUGUCAUUUCUCAACUUGGGGAGUGGGAAAAGAUUCUUGAGCACUGAGGCUAAGCUCUAUUCUUUCUGACAGUGACAGAAUGGUUCGUGAAUAGACGAAUUUUUGUAGGUAUUUUCUCUGACUGAAUAGAUAGACUCAUAGAAGCUGAUGAAAGACAAAGUAGCUUUCAAGCAGUUGCGCUGACCAGCAUACGAAGUUUUUUACUUCUCAUUUGAAGUUGCAAAGAUGAAAGAUGGUACAUUGGUACCAUGUUAUUGAGGAGUGCAGAGGACCAAACAUUCAAUGGAAUUCUUUUUUCACUAGUGAUUCAUAUUGUAUUCUUUUGACAAUGUUCAUAGAAAAUUUUGAUUAAAAUAAAGCAGCUCCCCAACUGUUCUUGUUUUCUAGGUUUGAAUCACGGAACUGCAGAAUCCAAGAUUUUCUUUUCUUCCUUCAUUUGGGACCUCAGGUCUAUGAGGUCUCAGCGAUAAAGGUGUAUUCAUCAGAGAAAUUGCAAGCCAACUUUAGUCUUACAAGCCUAUGAUCUUUCUCUUUUCAGUGACAUUUAAACCACGGU
RNA transcript from Fragaria vesca subsp. vesca, 3737 nucleotides. RefSeq lists it as uncharacterized. The transcript has 14 exons. NCBI's taxonomy places the organism in Eukaryota, Viridiplantae, Streptophyta, Magnoliopsida, Rosales, Rosaceae. The record is from RefSeq and is a predicted model, not a curated record.